Octodon degus (degu) is the source of this 1600-nucleotide long non-coding RNA. RefSeq lists it as uncharacterized. The record is from RefSeq and is a predicted model, not a curated record. The transcript has 4 exons. NCBI's taxonomy places the organism in Eukaryota, Metazoa, Chordata, Mammalia, Rodentia, Octodontidae.
AUUGUUGGCAGAAGCCGAAGUAACUAUAUUACCUGCCACAUCCUAGCUGGAGGCUCAAAGCUGGCUGUCAUCACUGGUGACCCUGACUGAGCACAGUCCCCAGCCUAAGGUUACCGAGGUGGGUGGAGGAGGAAGAUCUUGCUCUGCUGGAGGGAAGGCUGGCCGGCUUCCCAGGCAAUGAGUGGCGUCCGCAGAGGCCUCUAAGGGCUGGCAGGAGCCUCCCGGGUGGAGAAGGAGGAAGAGGAGGGCUUCCCACUCUGCAGCUGAACUACGGUUUAGGGAAGGAGAGACAAGCCGGAGCAAGUAGGAGGUGGCAGCCACAGCGGGCCGGGCCGAGGCUCACAACUGGCACCGAGGCUGUUUGCUGUUCCAGGAACUAUGUUAAGUGACUCACCGAACGCACACUGCCUGUGCGACGCGAGGCCCUAUUUUAAGGAUGCGGACAUCGCGGUACUGCGAUGGGCGUUAACUGGCCUGAAGUCACAGCGCCAGGAACUGGAGGCUCGGCGUCUGCACCCAGCACCUGCAGCUUCACUGCCGAGCCUAGAAAGUGCCAGCCCUCAGCUCUGAGUUAAGGGACACGGGCCGCAGAAGAAAACUCGGGACUGCUCACUUGCGAGGGAGAGUGAAGCGCUCGUCAAUUUACAGAAGCCUGUUCUCUUUGAGGACAUCUACCAGCGCCUUCUCUUGUGAAAUUGACAGAAUUGCGACGGCAGUAACCAGGGCUGCGAUGCCCGCCUGAGGCAGGGAGCAGCUCCUCCACACUGAGGAACCUUUUCAUUCACUCUGGCUACCCUAGAGGAGUGAAGUGGGGACUUACACAUGGCCUUGGACAUCACAAGAGACCCGAGGAGGCCAUUCUAGAAACUUCCUGCCACCCCCUUUACUGGGGAUCAAACUAGGGAUGCUACAUCCCGAAGAAACCCGGGAGCCCCCAGGCUGAAUUCUGUGUCUGGAUCACUCAGCUCAUGUUCAGUACCACUCCCAGCAGACCAAGGGCCACGUUUUAAAAUCCUUCAUCAUCUUGCUGCCUGCAAGGUGGGGUGCUAACCCUCUUUUUGGCAUUAUUUCACUUCUGCACCUGCACAUGGGACAGGCGUUGGCACUGCCCUUGGGGGCUUCGAGCACACAGCAGCCAGGCUGGCUCCUAGCAGGAGUCAGAAAUGUGUUACUGUUGCUGCAGAACCUACAGAGUACUUUGUCUUUCGCUUGUCUUAACGAGGCUUCUGGAAUAUUUAAAAUCCCAUCUGUGUCUUCCUGCUUUCUACCUCCCUCGGACACAGCAUUCUAGAGCUGUGAUGGCGUAUUCCUGUGACCAUAACAAGCUUCGGGACCUUGGCUGCCGCACAGAACAAAACAGAGCGUUAUGUCCUGUGCAGACACCCUCGACAUCCUUUUGUAAGAGCCCAGGGCACAGAGAUGUGCUGUGCCCAUGACCCUGAGGUCAUCUGCCCAGAGCCCGAUCUCAUCUGUCUUGAGAUGUUUACCAUGGCACUGUCUGCAGCGGGGACACGCAUACUGGGAAUUAUGGCGAAAUCGUGGAAGGUGCUUAAACGACCAGUGAGAGACUGGUUAAAUAGGGUAUGUCUAUACAGCAGUC